RNAcentral lists this long non-coding RNA (360 nucleotides) under Daucus carota (carrot). Its description in RNAcentral is "long non-coding RNA (DCAR_LNC000920)". Lineage: Eukaryota; Viridiplantae; Streptophyta; Magnoliopsida; Apiales; Apiaceae. The record is from RNAcentral.
UCAAGGAUGGUAUGAUUCAGAGUAUUGGACUCACUGAUGAAGCACUAUCAACAUACAAUCCUCGUAUACUGAAAUAUCUGGAAACUCAAGUCAGGGAGAAGUGCUCAAGGACUAGCAAGGGAAGACUAACUGCUGAACUGCUAUAUGCCUAUCGUCUGAACUUUGCUGCUCUGAGAGAAUUAGACUUAUCAGCCAUCAAUCGUCAACCACCAUAUCCACUGCCUCCACUAGACCCUGAAGUUCCUGAAAAUCCAAAUGCACCUGUUGUUACUUACAAUCCUACAUCUGUAAUAUUCAAGAAGAAGAAAGACUCUGAAGUCACUGCUAUACCACUCACAGAGAUUGGAAAACUCAAUUCCA